AGAUGAACGCUAGCUACAGGCUUAACACAUGCAAGUCGCAGGGUAACAUGAGGAAAGCUUGCUUUCCUUGAUGACGACUGGCGCACGGGUGAGUAACGCGUAUCCAACCUUCCCAUAACUACGGGAUAACCCGUUGAAAGACGGCCUAAUACCGUAUGAUAUCGUUUGCUGACAUCAAAUAACGAUUAAAGGUUUAGCGGUUAUGGAUGGGGAUGCGUCUGAUUAGCUUGUUGGCGGGGUAACGGCCCACCAAGGCGACGAUCAGUAGGGGUUCUGAGAGGAAGGUCCCCCACAUUGGAACUGAGACACGGUCCAAACUCCUACGGGAGGCAGCAGUGAGGAAUAUUGGUCAAUGGGCGAGAGCCUGAACCAGCCAAGUAGCGUGCAGGAAGACGGCCCUAUGGGUUGUAAACUGCUUUUAUGUGGGGAUAAAGUGCGUGACGUGUCAUGCAUUGCAGGUACCACAUGAAUAAG
RNAcentral lists this ribosomal RNA (474 nucleotides) under uncultured bacterium. RNAcentral's name for it is "bacterial SSU rRNA". It matches the Rfam family "Bacterial small subunit ribosomal RNA", at positions 28 to 490 of the family's 1533-position model. The record is from RNAcentral.